This 985-nucleotide long non-coding RNA is filed under the name Gossypium barbadense (sea-island cotton). RNAcentral describes it as "long non-coding RNA (GBAR_LNC000307)". Lineage: Eukaryota; Viridiplantae; Streptophyta; Magnoliopsida; Malvales; Malvaceae. The record is from RNAcentral.
CCGAAACCCUAGAGUAGCCCUGGCCCUUCCCUUUUCCAUCCAUAGUUGACCCUUAACACUUCCCCAAGAACCAAUCUGUCACCAUGAACGGAGACCAAGCUCGUCCAGGCCUCGGGGUUAUUUUUUAGCUUUCAGACCCCUCCUAUAUUUCGAUUUCGACGAAGGAGGAGGAGUUUUAUGGCGUAUUUACAAGGUAAAACUUCAUUUCCCUUUUUUAUACAUUCGAAUGCUAAAAAAGAUUAAAAAAAAGAAAGAGGAUUCGGAAAGAAAGAGGCAAGAAUGAGAAGAAAUCUGGAAGUUCUUAAUCUAAAGUCACCUUUUUUUGCUAUUUCUUUGUAUUCAUUAUGCAAGUAUUGUGGCUGUAUUGUGUGUUCGUAUUACUUGUAUAAAAAAAAGAAGAAGAUUUACAGUCGGAAAUCAUCGGCUUUAUAGCCGAAUAAUCAAAAAUAAAGAAAAAUACAAUUUUUCCUUUGCUUUCGUAUUUGCUACUGCUCUGUUUUCCUUCUUGCAGGUACGAGUGUGCGUUGGCGUGUGUACAGGGGUGUGGCGUGGUUGCUGAAAUGUUGGGGCAUAUGGAGGCACGGAGCUGCUGUCCGGUUGCUGUUGCGGCGCAGGAAGGAGGAGUGACCUAGGGUUACUAAAGUUGUUUCAGCUUUUGGGCUGUUUUAGGCCUUGAAGCUUUGGACUGUUUUGUAAAUGGGCUAGGGUAUUAAUUAUAAGGUCAUGUAAUUGGGCUUAGGUAUCGGGCUAUGGGAUAUUGUAAUGAUUUGGACUGCAAUAGGACAUUAAAUUUUAUUUGGGUUUUAUACUUAUUGUUUUUUUGGUUUAUUUUUGUUUUGUUUUGUGUUUGCAUGGGCCGGGCCAAAAUUGGUCAUUACACUCCUUUGCUGAUGGCUCUCUAAGGUGGCUGACCAAGGGCUCUUUAAGAGGUUUAAUUGCUAGAAUCUCUAUGAAGAGAUGAUGCCAGGUGUGGGGAAUGGAAAAG